RNAcentral lists this long non-coding RNA (2044 nucleotides) under Brachypodium distachyon (stiff brome). Its description in RNAcentral is "long non-coding RNA (BDIS_LNC003840)". The record is from RNAcentral. Lineage: Eukaryota; Viridiplantae; Streptophyta; Magnoliopsida; Poales; Poaceae.
GUUACGGGGUUACAACACUUGCCGACAGCCAACUGGCUUCCAUCAUACCACUCCGUCCAGAUAAAACAUUUUGGUUUUAUUUCGAAAACAUUUUUCCAAAGACAUACUCGCUCAUAAAGAGCACUUAAUACUUUUCAAUAUAGUUUGGGUCCCGUCCCGUUAUAAUAGUAUAGCAUGCUUUGGAAAAAUGUAAAUACAUAACCUAUGGUAUUUGGUGGCAAGGCAAUAAAAUCCUAUAAGCAAUCUACUAGGAAUAACUAAACAUGUUGAAAACGCAUUUGAUAAAUACUUUAUAAAAAAAUAACUCUAACAUGCAUCCCUAUGACAUUGUAAACAAAAUAGCAUAAGCAAAUAUAUAGGUACUACAUGAUCAAUAAGUGUAACUUGCCUGGAUCAGGAAAGUUGUUGCGGUCGUCAACUCCCAGGCACUCGUCGCAAUCACAGUCCGAAUAAUCUAACGCGAAGAACGAAGCAACAAUAAAUGCAUAGUUCCAAACAUCUCUCAAAAUCCAAAUAUAACUCCAAAUGAACUUCGAAUAAAUGAAUUUAAUCCAACACUCAAUAACAGAACCUAAACGUCAUCUAUGUAAUACCAUAGUAUUAACAAACCAAGUUCUGAAGCCUAAGGCCAAGGCUAGAGUGGCUAAGUCUGAAAUUCAGUAAUCUGCUCCUGUUAACAGGUUGCAACUAAGGUUGAUAGGUAAAAGGUGCUAAAGUAUAGUACAUGGCAUGAAACAUAUGCUAGAGUAGAAUAAUAAGAUUGUACUAACUAACGCAACAGGUAUCAGGUCAAUUGGAUCUACAGAUCGAAAGUUACUGGCUUGCAAAGGUGGCUAGUCAGAUUCUGACAGAUAAUGGAUACUAAAUUCUACUGAAAAGCUAUUGGUGCUAAACUAUUCCAAUGACAGAGAACUAAACAUACGAAUCCAAGAAUAUAGUCUACUCUUCCAAAUGUAACUGGUUUUACGAACUAAGGAGAUAUGAGGCAGUAGGUAUGAAUAGAUGAAUGUGGCUACUCUAAAGCAGAACAGUACAUGAUACGAACUCUUGCUGUUGUGCUACUAGUGAAGAUGAAUUUGAAAUGGCCCAACUAGGUAACUACUGUGCAAGGGUGUACCUAAGGUUCUAACUACAGCAAGAAUCAACUAAAAUGAUGCUACGAACAACAAGAAGAACUUCUGCGAACUAGUCUACUCGGUAAGAAUGGUGCUACAACUUCCUGCCGCGGCAGAGAUACGGCAGAGAGGCUGCUAAGAAUACAGUUUUGCAACGACGAUGCAAUGCUCAAGAUGAACCAUCUAUGACUACUAUCUACAGAAAAAUUAUAGAUAAACAUACACUCUACACAAUGGUGAAAACGAGAGCACAUCAUGAUCAGAGGGUUGCUAAAUAUCGACGCCUAAAGGAAGCUAACCGAAGAACAAGGAAGAUGAACCAAAUCAUACCCAAAUCUCUCUGGAGAAGAAUGGAAUCGGUGAAUCAAAGCUCGGGGACGAAGAAGAAGGGUUGGAGAAGGAUCAAGAGUAUAAAAUACUUUUCAGGAUCUAUAAUUCACCCGAAAAUCCAUUUAAAUCAUUUAAAAUAUUAAAUGGCUUCAGAAAAAUUCCCAAAAAUUCUGUAAAAUAAUAUAUUCUAUCUAGAGUCCAGGAAAAUUAUUCCCACUCAAAAAUAAAAUAAUAAAAAUAGUUUUAAUGCCUUUAAGCUUCAAAUAAAUCCAAAUAAAAAAAAAAUCCCAGAAUGCAUUUUUAAAUUCUAGAAAUUUUUCAAAUCAAAUUCUAUCAACCUAACACAUUCCAAAACACCAUUUCAAACACUUUCAAUAAAGCAUCAUAAUGAAACACGAAAAUUUUAAGAUAUGAUCAAGGUGAUAUGCAUGAGAAAUGAAAAGAUGUGAACAUCCGAAAUUGAAAAUUUGGGAUGUUACAGCCUCAUCCCUAUCCUGCAUGUCAGAUUCCUGCAGUGCCCAAGGUACAUAGCAAUUUUUUUUUGAAAUGUACGAAAAACAAUAUAAACUGGAUAACCUCUUGCCUCCCAGCCCCCGGGC